This 179-nucleotide ribosomal RNA is filed under the name uncultured soil bacterium. RNAcentral's name for it is "partial 16S ribosomal RNA". It matches the Rfam family "Bacterial small subunit ribosomal RNA", at positions 26 to 207 of the family's 1533-position model. The record is from RNAcentral.
AGGACGAACGCUGGCGGCGUGCUUAACACAUGCAAGUCGAGCGGUAAGGCCUUUCGGGGUACACGAGCGGCGAACGGGUGAGUAACACGUGGGUGAUCUGCCCUGCACUUCGGGAUAAGCCUGGGAAACUGGGUCUAAUACCGGAUAUGACUUCAGGUUGCAUGACUUGGGGUGGAAAG